RNAcentral lists this ribosomal RNA (601 nucleotides) under Kosakonia oryzendophytica. RNAcentral describes it as "bacterial SSU rRNA". It matches the Rfam family "Bacterial small subunit ribosomal RNA", at positions 132 to 727 of the family's 1533-position model. Lineage: Bacteria; Pseudomonadati; Pseudomonadota; Gammaproteobacteria; Enterobacterales; Enterobacteriaceae. The record is from RNAcentral.
GAUGGAGGGGGAUAACUACUGGAAACGGUAGCUAAUACCGCAUAACGUCGCAAGACCAAAGAGGGGGACCUUCGGGCCUCUUGCCAUCAGAUGUGCCCAGAUGGGAUUAGCUAGUAGGUGGGGUAACGGCUCACCUAGGCGACGAUCCCUAGCUGGUCUGAGAGGAUGACCAGCCACACUGGAACUGAGACACGGUCCAGACUCCUACGGGAGGCAGCAGUGGGGAAUAUUGCACAAUGGGCGCAAGCCUGAUGCAGCCAUGCCGCGUGUAUGAAGAAGGCCUUCGGGUUGUAAAGUACUUUCAGCGGGGAGGAAGGUGUUGUGGUUAAUAACCACAGCAAUUGACGUUACCCGCAGAAGAAGCACCGGCUAACUCCGUGCCAGCAGCCGCGGUAAUACGGAGGGUGCAAGCGUUAAUCGGAAUUACUGGGCGUAAAGCGCACGCAGGCGGUCUGUCAAGUCGGAUGUGAAAUCCCCGGGCUCAACCUGGGAACUGCAUUCGAAACUGGCAGGCUGGAGUCUCGUAGAGGGAGGUAGAAUUCCAGGUGUAGCGGUGAAAUGCGUAGAAGAUCUGGAGGAAUACCGGUGGCGAAGGCGGCCU